CAGCAAUUUCCCAGGUACCAUGUAAGC
RNAcentral lists this non-coding RNA (27 nucleotides) under Homo sapiens (human). The record is from RNAcentral. Lineage: Eukaryota; Metazoa; Chordata; Mammalia; Primates; Hominidae.